This 808-nucleotide ribosomal RNA is filed under the name Enterococcus hirae. RNAcentral's name for it is "bacterial SSU rRNA". It matches the Rfam family "Bacterial small subunit ribosomal RNA", at positions 547 to 1357 of the family's 1533-position model. The record is from RNAcentral. Lineage: Bacteria; Bacillati; Bacillota; Bacilli; Lactobacillales; Enterococcaceae.
AAAAAAGCCUGUAGCCUCCAGCGCGCGCUUCUUAAGUCUGAUGUGAAAGCCCCCGGCUCAACCGGGUAGGUCAUUGGAAACUGGGAGACUUGAGUGCAGAAGAGGAGAGUGGAAUUCCAUGUGUAGCGCUGAAAUGCGUAGAUAUAUGGAGGAACACCAGUGGCGAAGGCGGCUCUCUGGUCUGUAACUGACGCUGAGGCUCGAAAGCGUGGGGAGCGAACAGGAUUAGAUACCCUGGUAGUCCACGCCGUAAACGAUGAGUGCUAAGUGUUGGAGGGUUUCCGCCCUUCAGUGCUGCAGCAAACGCAUUAAGCACUCCGCCUGGGGAGUACGACCGCAAGGUUGAAACUCAAAGGAAUUGACGGGGGCCCGCACAAGCGGUGGAGCAUGUGGUUUAAUUCGAAGCAACGCAAAGAACCUUACCAGGUCUUGACAUCCUUUGACCACUCUAGAGAUAGAGCUUCCCCUUCGGGGGCAAAGUGACAGGUGCGUGCAUGGUUGUCGUCAGCUCGUGUGCGUCGAGAUGUUGGGUUAAGUCCCGCAACGAGCGCAACCCUUAUUGUUAGUUGCCAUCAUUUAGUUGGGCACUCUAGCGAGACUGCCGGUGACAAACCGGAGGAAGGUGGGGAUGACGUCAAAUCAUCAUGCCCCUUAUGACCUGGGCUACACACGUGCUACAAUGGGAAGUACAACGAGUUGCGAAGUCGCGAGGCUAAGCUAAUCUCUUAAAGCUUCUCUCAGUUCGGAUUGUAGGCUGCAACUCGCCUACAUGAAGCCGGAAUCGCUAGGUAAUCGCGGAUCAGCACGC